CCUACGUGUGGCAGCAGUGAGGAAUAUUGGUCAAUGGGCGAGAGCCUGAACCAGCCAAGUCGCGUGAGGGAGUACUGCCCUAUGGGUUGUAAACCUCUUUUGUCGGGGAGCAAAAGCCGGACGUGUCCGGCUGUGAGAGUACCCGAAGAAAAAGCAUCGGCUAACUCCGUGCCAGCAGCCGCGGUAAUACGGAGGAUGCGAGCGUUAUCCGGAUUUAGUGGGUUUAAAGGGUGCGCAGGCGGAUUUUUAAGUCAGCGGUCAACUCGUGGGGCUCAACCCCAUCCAGCCGGUGAAACUGGGGAUCUAGAGUGUGCGAGAGGUAUGCGGAAUGCGUGGUGUAGCGGUGAAAUGCAUAGAUAUCACGCAGAACCCCGAUUGCGAAGGCAGCAUACCGGUGCACAACUGACGCUCAGGCACGAAAGCGUGGGUAUCGAACAGGAUUAGAUACCCUAGUAGUC
This 458-nucleotide ribosomal RNA is filed under the name uncultured bacterium. Its description in RNAcentral is "partial 16S ribosomal RNA". It matches the Rfam family "Bacterial small subunit ribosomal RNA", at positions 338 to 795 of the family's 1533-position model. The record is from RNAcentral.